UGGGGAAUCUUGCACAAUGGGCGAAAGCCUGAUGCAGCGACGCCGCGUGCGGGAUGAAGGCCUUCGGGUUGUAAACCGCUUUCAGCAGGGAAGAUAGUGACGGUACCUGCACAAGAAGCCCCGGCUAACUACGUGCCAGCAGCCGCGGUAAUACGUAGGGGGCGAGCGUUAUCCGGAUUCAUUGGGCGUAAAGCGCGCGCAGGCGGCUCUUCAAGCGGAACCUCUAACCCCGGGGCUCAACCUCGGGCCGGGUUCCGAACUGGAGGGCUCGAGUGCGGUAGAGGCAGGCGGAAUUCCCGGUGUAGCGGUGGAAUGCGCAGAUAUCGGGAAGAACACCGAUGGCGAAGGCAGCCUGCUGGGCCGGCACUGACGCUGAGGCGCGAAAGCUAGGGGAGCGAACAGG
This 403-nucleotide ribosomal RNA is filed under the name Verrucomicrobiota bacterium. RNAcentral's name for it is "Verrucomicrobia bacterium partial 16S ribosomal RNA". It matches the Rfam family "Bacterial small subunit ribosomal RNA", at positions 355 to 776 of the family's 1533-position model. Lineage: Bacteria; Pseudomonadati; Verrucomicrobiota. The record is from RNAcentral.